This 460-nucleotide ribosomal RNA is filed under the name uncultured bacterium. Its description in RNAcentral is "partial 16S ribosomal RNA". It matches the Rfam family "Bacterial small subunit ribosomal RNA", at positions 338 to 795 of the family's 1533-position model. The record is from RNAcentral.
CCUACGGGUGGCUGCAGUGAGGAAUAUUGGUCAAUGGGCGUAAGCCUGAACCAGCCAAGUCGCGUGAGGGAUGAAGGUUCUAUGGAUCGUAAACCUCUUUUAUAAGGGAAUAAAGUGCGGAACGUGUCCAGUUUUGUAUGUACCUUAUGAAUAAGGAUCGGCUAACUCCGUGCGAGCAGCCGCGGUAAGACGGAGGAUCCGAGCGUUAUCCGGAUUUAUUGGGUUUAAAGGGUUCGUAGGCUGCCUUUUAAGUCAGCGGUUAAAGUCUGUGGCUCAACCAUAGAAUCGCCGUUGAAACUGGGAGGCUUGAGUAUGUUUGAGGCAGGCGGAAGGCGUGGUGUAGCGGUGAAAUGCUUAGAUAUCAGGAAGAACCCCGAUGGCGAAGGCAGCCUGCCAAGCCAUGACUGACGCUGAUGCACGAAAGCGUGGGGAUCAAACAGGAUUAGAUACCCCAGUAGUC